CCUCCAAAUGGGAUAAUCAGCAAACAAUGCCAAUCUUCUAUUGAUUCUUUCUACUAUUUAGUUACUACUGGUAGAUAUGUCAGUACCUCAAACUAUUUUACCUUGAUAAUAGCUGAGAUUGCUGUUUCAGAUGGUGAUGACAGCCAAUACUGAAAGGAGCAGUCAAAACUGGGAAAAGACUUUUCCAAACGGCACAAUCCUGCCAGGAAACAGAACAACACCCAACAUAAUAACAGAGUUGGAAGGAACCUUGGAAGUCUUCUAGUCCAAGCCAGUGGAGAAACUUUGAGAAAACUGCAGCUUUAAGCUUCUUCCAUGAAGAUUUGCAUCUAGAUCCACAAAGGGGAAAUCCAAGAGAGUAUAAAAGCUGAAGUUCUCCUUAGUCUAUUCUACACAGCCAGUUAAGAAGGAACAUAAUUACCAUGAAGAAUGCUGUUCAGAAGACACUUGUGACACUAGCACAACCACCAACCUCACCACAAGGACUUGGCCAACAUGAAUUUUCCUUUGCUUCACAAAAUUCUGCAGGACCGUUUAUCCAUCAAAGCACAAGUAGGUCAUGCAGCAAGUUUAUGAGCCCAAACUACCAAGGGAAUGGAUGGUGAAGAAAUCCAAAGUUUUGGAACGGGCAUGCCAAAAUCUGGACCCAACCUUCAAAGAAAUGGUGUGCGAGACUUGAAACAAGUAGUUUAUGGCAGAAAAUUCUCAGAUGUUACUAGGUUGAAUUAAGUUGUCAUGGCGAAAUGGGUCAAAAUUCCUGCACAGCAAUGUGCUGACAAAUUACAGGUCACAUGAAGUGUUUGGUUGGGCUCAUUGCAGCUUUAAAAAAACAACAACCCGAUACCAGUUUCUGAAUCUAAGGAGGCAAUUAGAUUUUUACAUUGACCCAUUUGUGUUAGAUAACUUUGUUUAUGAAAUUAAUAAAAUAAGCACCAAACUGUAAUCUUAUUUAUUCACUUAGGUUUUCUUUAUAUUUAAGUAUGCACAUGAAGCUUUGAAAGGAAAUCAGUGCAAUGAUAUGCAAAGAUUCAGAAAAUCCAAAAGGGGCAAAUGCUUUCUUUCAUAGAACCAUGACUCUUAAAAUAGGCUACAGUAAUGCUUGUGAAGAGGUACUCCCCCCAAAGACCUCAAAAUAACUGUAGCAUCUGCUAUUUGUGCAAAAGUUAUAAGAAUGCUGCUGGAGAUAAUGAAUUGGGCAUCUUGGAGCUGAGGUGGGUUUCAGAGGACACAGUUGGUCUCAUACCAAAUGGUUACUCCUUGGCUGUUUGUUGACCCAGCACAUGGGGGGUCAGCAGAGCAGUUGAAAUGAGCCAGAGAUGUGCCCCAAAUUCUGGAGGUGAAUAGGCAAGAGCCAUAAUGCCAUGCAGAGUGGCUGACACUGAACAUCUUUGCACUGUUUGGCCUCAGUAAUGCCAGGCCAGUUGUCAUGUGCCAGCAUGGCAGCAGCCAAGGCCCUCAGCUUGUUAGACUGAAAGAAUGUGCCGUUUUAAUUAAUGAUAUGUAAAUAUCCUUGAAUGGGCUGCAUUUGCAUAUUAAGAGAGAUUUGCGGAAUCUGCGGAGUAAUAUAUUUUAAUUAAGGAUUAAUUAAAAAUAAUGGGAAUUUCAUUUUGCCUGGCAGAAUCCGUUUAGAUCUGAGCACACGUCUGCUCAGGAGUCUGGUCCGACUGUUCAACAUCCCACAUCCUGCAGCUGAGCCUACCCCUCCCAUGUUUAUAUGGCACCACCCGGGUUUCCAACAACAAAUCAGCACCAAAGCGGGGGUGGGGGGGAGGCAGCCAAAGCAUCCUUUUUGUGUACCUCCUUGGUGUGGUUUUGGGCUGAUUUGGGCUGGGUUUUUUUUAAAUCGUAAAGUAAGUAAAUGGCUCUGAGACACGGAACACUAGUUGUGUUGGCAAUUAUGUUAAUGGGAUGCUAUUAGGCUAUGAUUCUAUAUGAGCAAUUGGGGAGAAGAAAUGCCUUACUGAGAGAGAAUGAUACAACAGACGUCUGUCUUAUUGAUAUAGCUCCAGUGGAGCUCUCUGCAUAAUUACACUAGGCCACUUUCCACGGGUGGGGGGAGGCCUUAGACGUGCAGGUAGGAGGCAGAAUUCAGAAUGAAAGUCAAUUUCUAUCCCUGACAAUAAUAUGUCAACUGCAUGGUCAGUUGUUAAAAAGAGAUUAAAUGUAUGGCUACAGCCAGCUAGAAAUCUAGCAAGCAAAUGCCAUAGGGCUGUAGUUAGUCCAGGU
Long non-coding RNA from Ahaetulla prasina, 2226 nucleotides. RefSeq lists it as uncharacterized. The record is from RefSeq and is a predicted model, not a curated record. Lineage: Eukaryota; Metazoa; Chordata; Lepidosauria; Squamata; Colubridae. The transcript has 4 exons.